UACGUAGGGUGCGAGCGUUGUCCGGAAUUACUGGGCGUAAAGAGCUCGUAGGCGGCUUGUCGCGUCGGAUGUGAAAGCCCGGGGCUUAACCCCGGGUCUGCAUUCGAUACGGGCAGGCUAGAGUUCGGUAGGGGAGAUCGGAAUUCCUGGUGUAGCGGUGAAAUGCGCAGAUAUCAGGAGGAACACCGGUGGCGAAGGCGGAUCUCUGGGCCGAUACUGACGCUGAGGUGCGAAAGCGUGGGGAGCGAACAGG
Molecule: ribosomal RNA, 253 nt
Filed under: uncultured bacterium
Lineage: Bacteria
Description: partial 16S ribosomal RNA
Rfam family: Bacterial small subunit ribosomal RNA
Source: RNAcentral